GAACGGAAACGAAAAUAGCUUGCUAUUUGGCGUCGAGUGGCGAACGGGUGAGUAACGCGUAUGAAUCUACCCAGUAGAGGGGGAUAGCCCGAAGAAAUUCGGAUUAAUACCGCAUAAUCUCUACGGAGUAAAGAAGGCCUCUUUACAAUGCUUUUACUAUUGGAUGAGCCUGCGUUAGAUUAGUUAGUUGGUAGGGUAAAAGCCUACCAAGGCGACGAUCUAUAGCUGGUUUUACGAGAAUGAUCAGCCACACUGGAACUGAGACACGGUCCAGACUCCUACGGGAGGCAGCAGUGAAGAAUAUUGGACAAUGGGGGAAACCCUGAUCCAGCAAUGUUGCGUGUGUGAAGAAGGUCCGAGGAUUGUAAAGCACUUUCAGUAAGCAAGAAAAAUGUAAAUCUAAUAGAUUUGCAUGUUGACCACUUAUAGAAGAAGCACCGGCUAACUCCGUGCCAGCAGCCGCGGUAAUACGGAGGGUGCGAGCGUUAAUCGGAAUUACUGGGCGUAAAGGGUAAGUAGGCGGUUUAUAAAGUCACAUGUGAUAGCCCUAGGCUUAACCUAGGAAGU
This 567-nucleotide ribosomal RNA is filed under the name uncultured bacterium. RNAcentral describes it as "bacterial SSU rRNA". It matches the Rfam family "Bacterial small subunit ribosomal RNA", at positions 64 to 622 of the family's 1533-position model. The record is from RNAcentral.